This 496-nucleotide ribosomal RNA is filed under the name uncultured bacterium. Its description in RNAcentral is "partial 16S ribosomal RNA". It matches the Rfam family "Bacterial small subunit ribosomal RNA", at positions 30 to 523 of the family's 1533-position model. The record is from RNAcentral.
AUUGAACGCUGGCGGAAUGCUUUACACAUGCAAGUCGAACGGUAGAGGGGGCAACCCCUCGAGAGUGGCGAACGGGUGAGUAAUAUAUCGGAACGUGCCCAGUCGUGGGGGAUAACGUAGCGAAAGUUACGCUAAUACCGCAUACGAUCUAAGGAUGAAAGCGGGGGAUCGCAAGACCUCGCGCGAUUGGAGCGGCCGAUAUCAGAUUAGGUAGUUGGUGGGGUAAAGGCUCACCAAGCCAACGAUCUGUAGCUGGUCUGAGAGGACGACCAGCCAGCAUGGAAAUGAGACACGGUCCAGACUCCUACGGGAGGCAGCAGUGGGGAAUUUUGGACAAUGGACGCAAGUCUGAUCCAGCCAUUCCGCGUGCAGGAUGAAGGCCCUCGGGUUGUAAACUGCUUUUGUACGGAACGAAAAGGUCUCUCUUAAUACGGGGGGCUCAUGACGGUACCGUAAGAAUAAGCACCGGCUAACUACGUGCCAGCCGCCGCCGUAA